RNAcentral lists this ribosomal RNA (253 nucleotides) under uncultured bacterium. RNAcentral describes it as "partial 16S ribosomal RNA". It matches the Rfam family "Bacterial small subunit ribosomal RNA", at positions 524 to 776 of the family's 1533-position model. The record is from RNAcentral.
UACGUAGGGGGCGAGCGUUGUCCGGAAUUACUGGGCGUAAAGGGCGCGUAGGCGGCACAGCAAGUCGGGAGUGAAAGCCCGGGGCUCAACCCCGGAAUGGCUUUCGAAACUGCUGAGCUAGAGUACAGAAGGGGCAACCGGAAUUCCCAGUGUAGCGGUGAAAUGCGUAGAUAUUGGGAAGAACACCUGAGGCGAAGGCGGGUUGCUGGGCUGAUACUGACGCUGAGGCGCGAAAGCCAGGGGAGCAAACGGG